Molecule: ribosomal RNA, 510 nt
Filed under: uncultured bacterium
Lineage: Bacteria
Description: bacterial SSU rRNA
Rfam family: Bacterial small subunit ribosomal RNA
Source: RNAcentral
GCGACGACGGGUAGCCGGCCUGAGAGGGUGGACGGCCACACUGGGACUGAGACACGGCCCAGACUCCUACGGGAGGCAGCAGUGGGGAAUAUUGCACAAUGGGCGCAAGCCUGAUGCAGCGACGCCGCGUGAGGGAUGAAGGCCUUCGGGUUGUAAACCUCUUUCAGUAGGGAAGAAGCGAAAGUGACGGUACCUGCAGAAGAAGCGCCGGCUAACUACGUGCCAGCAGCCGCGGUAAUACGUAGGGCGCAAGCGUUAUCCGGAAUUAUUGGGCGUAAAGAGCUCGUAGGCGGUUUGUCGCGUCUGCCGUGAAAGUCCGGGGCUUAACUCCGGAUCUGCGGUGGGUACGGGCAGACUUGAGUGAUGUAGGGGAGACUGGAAUUCCUGGUGUAGCGGUGAAAUGCGCAGAUAUCAGGAGGAACACCGAUGGCGAAGGCAGGUCUCUGGGCAUUAACUGACGCUGAGGAGCGAAAGCAUGGGGAGCGAACAGGAUUAGAUACCCGGUAGUCC